AAUGAACGCUGGCGGCGUGCUUAACACAUGCAAGUCGAGCGGGAAAGUUUCCUUCGGGAAGCGAGUACAGCGGCAGACGGGUGAGUACAACGUAGGUAACCUACCCUCGAGACCGGGAUAACCUGUCGAAAGACGGGCUAAUACCGGAUAAGACCACAAAGGGCUGCGGCCUUUAGAGGUAAAAGAUUGGCCUCUGCUUGCAAGCUAUCACUUGGGGAUGGGCCUGCGCGCCAUUAGCUAGUUGGUGAGGUAACGGCUCACCAAGGCAAAGAUGGCUAGCUGGGUCUGAGAGGAUGGCCAGCCACACUGGGACUGAGACACGGCCCAGACUCCUACGGGAGGCAGCAAGUGGGGAAUAUUGCGCAAUGGGCGAAAGCCUGACGCAGCGACGCCGCGU
RNAcentral lists this ribosomal RNA (397 nucleotides) under uncultured bacterium. RNAcentral's name for it is "bacterial SSU rRNA". It matches the Rfam family "Bacterial small subunit ribosomal RNA", at positions 29 to 402 of the family's 1533-position model. The record is from RNAcentral.